RNAcentral lists this ribosomal RNA (1429 nucleotides) under uncultured bacterium. RNAcentral describes it as "bacterial SSU rRNA". It matches the Rfam family "Bacterial small subunit ribosomal RNA". The record is from RNAcentral.
GACGAACGCUGGCGGUGUGCUUAAUACAUGCAAGUCGAACGGCCCUUCGGGGCAGUGGCGGACGGCUGAGUAACACGUAGGUAACCUGCCCUUUACUGGGGGAUAACAGCGGGAAACCGCUGCUAAUACCGCAUAAGCCUGGGGUUGAAAUACCCUUGGUUAAAGAUUCAUCGGUAAAGGAUGGGCCUGCGUCUGAUUAGCUUGUUGGUAGGGUAAUGGCCUACCAAGGCAAUGAUCAGUAGUUGGUCUGAGAGGAUGACCAGCCAGAGUGGGACUGAGACACGGCCCACACUUCUACGGAAGGCAGCAGUAGGGAAUUUUGCGCAAUGGGCGAAAGCCUGACGCAGCAACACCGCGUGCGGGAUGAAGGCCCUCGGGUUGUAAACCGCUGUCAGCAGGGAAUAAUUCUGACUGUACCUGCAGAGGAAGCACCGGCUAACUCCGUGCCAGCAGCCGCGGUAAGACGGAGGGUGCAAGCGUUGUCCGGAAUUAUUGGGCGUAAAGAGUUCGUAGGCGGUUUGUUAAGUCUGGUGUUAAAGCCCGAGGCUCAACCUCGGCAUGGCAUUGGAUACUGGCAGGCUAGAGUGCGGUAGAGGUCUCGGGAAUUCCAGGUGUAGCGGUGAAAUGCGUAGAUAUCUGGAGGAACACCGGUGGCGAAAGCGCGAGACUGGGCCGUAACUGACGCUGAGGAACGAAAGCCAGGGGAGCGAAAGGGAUUAGAUACCCCUGUAUUCCUGGCUUGUAAACGAUGGAUACUAGGUGUUGGUGGAUUCGACCCCAUCAGUGCCGUAGCUAACGCGAUAAGUAUCCCGCCUGGGGAGUACGCUCGCAAAGAGUGAAACUCAAAGGAAUUGACGGGGGCCCGCACAAGCGGUGGAACAUGUGGUUUAAUUCGAUGCAACGCGAAGAACCUUACCUGGGCUUGACAUCCUCGGAACCCUCUGGAAACAGGGGGGUGCCUUCGGGAGCCGAGAGACAGGUGGUGCACGGUUGUCGUCAGCUCGUGUCGUGAGAUGUUGGGUUAAGUCCCGCAACGAGCGCAACCCUCGUGGUCUGUUGUUACAGGUCGAAAGAUGCUGAACCCUCAGGCCAGACUGCCGGUGACAAACCGGAGGAAGGUGGGGAUGACGUCAAAUCAUCACGCCCCUUAUGUCCAGGGCUACACACGUGUUACAAUGGGCGCGGACAAUGGGCAGCUUGGCAGCGAUGUCCGGCAAAUCCCACAAACCGCCCCUCAGUUCGGAUCGCAGUCUGCAACUCGACUGCGUGAAGUCGGAAUCGCUAGUAAACGCAGAUCAGCACGCUGCGUUGAAUACGUUCCCGGGCCUUGUACACACCGCCCGUCACACCACGAAAGAGGGUUAUGCCCGAAGUCGGUGUCCCAACCGUAAGGAGGGAGCCGCCUAAGGUGGAACUCUUGAUUGGGGUG